RNAcentral lists this non-coding RNA (37 nucleotides) under Trichobilharzia regenti. Lineage: Eukaryota; Metazoa; Platyhelminthes; Trematoda; Strigeidida; Schistosomatidae. The record is from RNAcentral.
GACGAGUUCCAAAUAGGACGAAAUGCGCAUCCUGGAU